UCUAAGGCUGUGUUUGUUUUGGGUGAAAAUAAAAGUUGGAAAACAUUUUACACCAUCAUGUGUGUUUGGGACCACAUGUUAAACUCGUUCAAAGGGAAAAUCAAAUUCUUUGAUCGUAAAAUAAGAGCCCCUCAAGUGUAAAAUAUUUUACACAUUCUAAUUACCUUCAAACAAAAUUUUACGGAUUGAAAAUAGAGAAAGAGAGAGAGAGCAGUGGUAAGGUUGGUCUAGUCUUCGAUCCACCCAAACCCAUCGUUGGUCAAAUCAUGCCGUUCAAUCCCCUCCACGCGCCGGUUGUGUUUUGGUAAAUAUCAUCUUCUUGCUUGCACAUUUGAUUGAAUGGUAUGUCAAAUAAUUUGGUAUGCUAAAAAUAUGUAUGUCAUAAUGCCAAAUUGAGUUUUAAAACUGUUUAUACUAUUGACCACCUAAAGGGUAAGACAUACGUCAUGUUUGUUGGUCGUGUGCCUAGAGUGUACAACACAUGGGAAGAAGCUCAUGCCCAAGUCCAUCAAUAUUCUGGGGCAAACCACAAGGCGUUUAAGCAUAAAUUGGAUGCAUAAAUUUCUUUUAUGAAGUUUUGGCAGAUUGAUGGUGGAAUGUGCAACAAGGUUCUUCAUCCAGUACUCCUUCAACUCCUUUAAUUGAAAAGAGUUCCAGCACAGAAGAUGUUAAAUACAAUUUAUUGAAAUAUCAAUUAGAUAUCGCAAUUGAGCAGCGCAACCAUGCAAUGAAGAUUGCAAAGUUAAAUGCAAGAAUGCUAAACGCAGUGGCAUCUCAAGUCCUGCCCGAUGAUGAGCUCAAUAAAAUGGCACAUCUAAACUUGGGUGAAUGACCAUGAAAGUUGUAUUAGGGUUGUGAUUUUUGUAUGUGGGUACCUCUGUCAUUGUUAUGUAAAACUUGGAUGUGUAUAAUGUUCAUUUUUUUUGUGAUUGGAAUUAAUGGAUGUGCAUGUAUGAUGUGUAUAGGUAUUUUGA
Molecule: long non-coding RNA, 974 nt
Organism: Quercus robur (English oak)
Lineage: Eukaryota; Viridiplantae; Streptophyta; Magnoliopsida; Fagales; Fagaceae
Exons: 2
Source: RefSeq, a predicted model, not a curated record